CUUUGCUUUUUUAUAGACUGGAUUUAUAUAUUUAUAACUAAAAUUAGGUUAAAUUUUUUUUUUAUAGAGUUAAAUAUUUAGAUUGAUGAAAGAUGUAUAAUAGUGACAGGGAUUAGAUACCCCAUUAAUGUACAUUGUAGCUUUGUCUUAGUUAAUAUAACUAAAAUAAUUUGGCAGUGAGCGACUCUUUUUAGGGGAAGGUGUGGUGUAAAGGAUGUUCCGCCUAAUAAUUUACUUUCGUUAUGUUGGUGUAUAUCUGGUUUAAUAUUAUCGUUGAGUAAGUGAGUUUGUGUAGUUUUAUUUAAGCCAAGUCUAUGUGCUGCUUAUGAAAGUAUUCAUGCGUUACAUUUAUAAGGUUUUGGUUGUAAUACUAAAAUAUUUAGGACUUAAAAGUAAUGUUCAAUAAGUUUGUGAGUGUGAAGUAAGUUUAGCUCAUG
This 437-nucleotide ribosomal RNA is filed under the name Taenia hydatigena. RNAcentral describes it as "partial small subunit ribosomal RNA". The record is from RNAcentral. Lineage: Eukaryota; Metazoa; Platyhelminthes; Cestoda; Cyclophyllidea; Taeniidae.